AGCGAACGCUAGCGGCGGGCUUAACACAUGCAAGUCGAGCGCUUCUCUUCGGAGAAGAGCGGCGAACGGGUGAGUAACACGUAGGUUACCUGCCCCCGGGUGAGGGACAACCGAGGGAAACUUCGGCUAAUACCACAUAUGGACUACGGUUCAAAGGCUUCGGCCGCCUGGGGAUGGGCCUGCGUCCCAUUAUUUAGUCCUAGUUGGUGGGGUAAUGGCCUACCAAGGGUACGAUGGGUAGCUGGUCUGAGAGGAUGAUCAGCCACACUGGGACUGAGACACGGCCCAGACUCCUACGGGAGGCAGCAGUGGGGAAUAUUGCGCAAUGGGCGAAAGCCUGACGCAGCCACGCCGCGUGAGUGAUGAAGGCCCGAGGGUCGUAAAGCUCUGUCGGGAGGGAAGAAGUUCUGACGGUACCUCCCAAGAAAGCACCGGCUAACUCCGUG
This 446-nucleotide ribosomal RNA is filed under the name uncultured bacterium. Its description in RNAcentral is "bacterial SSU rRNA". It matches the Rfam family "Bacterial small subunit ribosomal RNA", at positions 29 to 507 of the family's 1533-position model. The record is from RNAcentral.